GACGAACGCUGGCGGCGUGCUUAACACAUGUAAGUCGAACGGAAAGGCCCUGCUUUUGUGGGGUGCUCGAGUGGCGAACGGGUGAGUAACACGUGAGUAACCUGCCCUUGACUUUGGGAUAACUUCAGGAAACUGGGGCUAAUACCGGAUAGGAGCUCCUGCUGCAUGGUGGGGGUUGGAAAGUUUCGGCGGUUGGGGAUGGACUCGCGGCUUAUCAGCUUGUUGGUGGGGUAGUGGCUUACCAAGGCUUUGACGGGUAGCCGGCCUGAGAGGGUGACCGGCCACAUUGGGACUGAGAUACGGCCCAGACUCCUACGGGAGGCAGCAGUGGGGAAUAUUGCACAAUGGGCGGAAGCCUGAUGCAGCAACGCCGCGUGCGGGAUGACGGCCUUCGGGUUGUAAACCGCUUUCGCCUGUGACGAAGCGUGAGUGACGGGAAUGGGUAAAGAAGCACCGGCUAACUACGU
This 467-nucleotide ribosomal RNA is filed under the name uncultured bacterium. RNAcentral describes it as "partial 16S ribosomal RNA". It matches the Rfam family "Bacterial small subunit ribosomal RNA", at positions 28 to 506 of the family's 1533-position model. The record is from RNAcentral.